RNAcentral lists this ribosomal RNA (177 nucleotides) under uncultured bacterium. RNAcentral's name for it is "partial 16S ribosomal RNA". It matches the Rfam family "Bacterial small subunit ribosomal RNA", at positions 355 to 525 of the family's 1533-position model. The record is from RNAcentral.
CGUGGGUAAUUGCACAAUGGGCGCAAGCCUGAUGCAGCCAUGCCGCGUGUAUGAAGAAGGCCUUCGGGUUGUAAAGUACUUUCAGCGGGGAGGAAGGGAGKAAAGUUAAUACCUUUGCKCAUUGAGUUACCCGCAGAAGAAGCACCGGCUAACUSCGUGCCAGCCGCCGCGGUAAAC